AUAUUUACCUGGCAGGGGAGAUACCAAAUGCAGGGAACUCAACUGCAUAAUUUGUGGUAGUGGGGAAUUGUGUUCGUGCCUUCCCCUC
Small nuclear RNA from Camelus dromedarius (Arabian camel), 88 nucleotides. Its record names the gene U1. It matches the Rfam family "U1 spliceosomal RNA". From Rfam's summary of the family: U1 is a small nuclear RNA (snRNA) component of the spliceosome (involved in pre-mRNA splicing). Its 5' end forms complementary base pairs with the 5' splice junction, thus defining the 5' donor site of an intron. The record is from Ensembl. NCBI's taxonomy places the organism in Eukaryota, Metazoa, Chordata, Mammalia, Artiodactyla, Camelidae.